RNAcentral lists this ribosomal RNA (250 nucleotides) under uncultured prokaryote. RNAcentral describes it as "partial 16S rRNA". It matches the Rfam family "Bacterial small subunit ribosomal RNA", at positions 525 to 775 of the family's 1533-position model. The record is from RNAcentral.
ACGUAGGGGGCAAGCGUUAUCCGGAAUUAUUGGGCGUAAAGAGUGCGUAGGUGGUUUUUUAAGCGUGAGGUGAAAGGCAAUAGCUUAACUAUUGUAAGCCUUGCGAACUGGAAGACUUGAGUGCAGGAGAGGAAAGUGGAAUUCCUAGUGGGCGGGUUAAAGGCGUGUAUAUGAGGAGGAGCACCGAUGGCGAGGGCGACAUACAGGAUUAGAACUUAUACUGUUCCGCUAGAGUGUUUGUUACACACAG